GUGGGGAAUAUUGGGCAAUGGGGGAAACCCUGACCCAGCGACGCCGCGUGAGGGAAGAAGGCCUUAGGGUCGUAAACCUCUGUUGUGUGGGAAGAAGAGCGUGACGGUACCACACGAGGAAGUCCCGGCUAACUACGUGCCAGCAGCCGCGGUAAUACGUAGGGGACGAGCGUUGUCCGGAUUUACUGGGCGUAAAGGGCGCGUAGGCGGUCAUUUAAGUCAGCUGUGAAAUGGUUUGGCUUAACCGGAUCAUGCGGUUGAAACUGGAUGACUGGAGUGCUGGAGAGGGAAGUGGAAUUCCCAGUGUAGCGGUGAAAUGCGUAGAUAUUGGGAAGAACACCGGUGGCGAAGGCGACUUGCUGGCCAGCAACUGACGCUGAGGCGCGAAAGCCAGGGGAGCAAACGGGAUUAGAAACCCUUGUAGUCC
This 427-nucleotide ribosomal RNA is filed under the name uncultured bacterium. RNAcentral describes it as "partial 16S ribosomal RNA". It matches the Rfam family "Bacterial small subunit ribosomal RNA", at positions 354 to 796 of the family's 1533-position model. The record is from RNAcentral.